UUUGUGAAUGUUCAAAUCAGUUCAGUUUAUCGUGGAUUUUCAAGCGGAAAACUAAAUUUCUUUUGUCAAGCUAGACAACAGCGAUUACGGCAGCAGCAGCAGCAAAAGUGCAGCAAGUGUUUCUCAACUCCUCAAUCUUAAUUUGCAUUAUUCUACUCCAAAAGAAAGUAAAAUAAAAUAAAUAAACAACAUUUCAGGUGAAAUUGCGCUUUAACUUAAAUUUGCAAGCGUUGCAUAAGUCAUAAACAAAUAAAAUAGAAGUAAUAAAUCGAUAUUUAAACAAAUAGUCAUAAUAGUGAAAAUUUCAAAAUGAGUUUGCGUGGCGUACAUGCACGGGACUCAAUAGAUUCGAUUGAAGUUGAAGCUGCAACUCGAAUAAGUCGCUAUCCUUAUGUGACGUCCAAUCGAUCGGUUAUGCGUUCAAUUUCAGGACCAGGCUCGUUAGCGCCAAGAUCCGAUUCUCCAACAUCACUAGCAGCGGCAAGACAGUCUAAGACACCGGUGCCGGGUGAAGUCGCCGAUGAUGUGCUUCCCAAUGAAAUCUCCGCGCCGUAUGAAGUACCGCAAUUCCCCAUCGAACAGAUUGAGAAGAAAUUGCAAAUUCAAAGGCAUUUAAAUGAGUCAAUAACAACGAGCCGACCCGCUAAUGUAGCGGAAAAAUAUACAUCAUUGACCAGUGAUGAGAGUUUAGCGACAAUGGAGACCGUCGAUGCAGAGGAGCACGAUUUGCCCAAUUUUCAGCGUGUCUCCAUUUCUGGUGAGGAUACUAGCGGUGUGCCAUUGGAGGAUUUAGAACGCGCCUCCACCCUACUAAUACAAGCGUUGGAAUUACGCGAGCGCUAUAUGUUACAUUCUGGUCAAUCAUUCCCGACAACAACUCGCCGUUUUCUGAAAACCGUACACGAACGUAAUCGUUUCGGUACGAUUGAGCACGAGAAUCGAAAGACCAUUGCUGCUAUAAUACGCAAGAUCAGCCUCCCCAGUUCGCAGACAGACCAUCCCAUACAUCCGCCAACUGACACGUCCGACCCAUGGGACUUGGAGUUUCCACCUGAUAACGAAUAUGCUAUCAAAAGUAUUAAUGGUGUCUUCCACGUCUACAAGGAUAAGGAAUGCACGCAAGUAGUUAAGUGUGAAUAUCCAAAUCUCAAAGAAUUUGUGAACGAUAUGCAAGUUAUGUGCAACAUGAUCGUCGAUGGUCCACUGAAAUCAUUUUGUUAUCGCCGUCUUUGCUAUCUCUCGUCGAAAUUCCAAUUACACGUUCUCUUGAAUGAGCUGCGUGAGUUAGCCUCACAGAAAGCGGUGCCACAUCGCGAUUUCUACAACAUCAGAAAAGUGGACACUCACAUACACGCGGCCUCUUGCAUGAAUCAAAAACAUCUAUUACGUUUUAUUAAGAAGACACUAAAAAAUAAUUCCGAUGAAAUUGUGACAGUUACCAAAGGUCAACAAAUGUCACUGAGAGAUGUUUUCCAAUCGAUGAACCUAACUACCUAUGAUCUUACCGUAGAUAUGUUGGACGUGCAUGCAGAUCGGAACACAUUCCAUCGCUUUGACAAAUUCAAUUCCAAAUACAAUCCGAUCGGUGAGUCGCGUUUACGUGAGGUCUUCCUAAAGACGGAUAACUAUUCGAAUGGCAAAUAUUUUGCGCAAAUUAUUAAGGAAGUUGCCUAUGAUUUAGAGGAAUCGAAAUACCAAAAUGCAGAAUUGCGUCUUUCCAUUUACGGUAAAUCGCCGGAUGAGUGGAAAAAAUUAGCCAAAUGGGCCAUCGAUUACAAUGUGCAUUCGACAAAUGUACGCUGGCUGAUACAGAUUCCACGUCUUUAUGAUAUAUUCAAAUCCAACAAUUUGAUGAAUUCAUUCCAAAAUAUCCUGGAUAAUAUCUUUCUGCCUCUAUUCGAGGCUACCAGCCGUCCUAAUGAGCAUCCCGAAUUGCAUCGAUUCCUCAAGUAUGUCAUCGGCUUCGAUUCGGUAGACGAUGAAUCAAAACCAGAGAAUCCAAUUAUCGAUGUGGAUAUACUAACACCAGAAGCGUGGAGCGAAGAGGAAAAUCCGCCAUAUGCUUAUUAUAUUUAUUAUAUGUAUGCAAAUAUGACGGUAUUGAAUCAGUACAGAAAAGCGCGUGGCAUGAACACAUUUGUUUUACGUCCGCAUUGCGGCGAGGCUGGUCCUGUGCAGCAUUUAGUUUGCGGUUACCUAAUGGCUGAGAAUAUAUCUCACGGUCUGCUGUUGCGAAAAGUGCCUGUACUGCAGUAUCUGUAUUAUUUGUCUCAGAUUGGUAUUGCCAUGUCUCCACUUUCCAACAAUUCACUUUUUCUCAACUAUCAUCGCAAUCCGCUGCCAGAAUAUUUAGCACGUGGCUUAAUUGUCUCACUAUCGACUGAUGAUCCAUUACAAUUUCACUUCACAAAGGAACCGCUAAUGGAGGAGUACAGCAUUGCGGCACAAGUGUGGAAGCUUAGCUCAUGUGAUAUGUGCGAAUUGGCUCGCAAUAGUGUAAUCAUGAGUGGCUUCCCGCAUAAGGUCAAACAACAUUGGCUCGGUCCCAAUUAUACCCGUGAAGGUGUUGCUGGUAAUGACAUUACGCGCACGAAUGUGCCCGAUAUCCGUGUUUCCUAUCGAAGUGAAACACUGCUGGACGAGUUGUCGAACAUAUUCAAGGUGCACGAGAUUCCCAAAAGUGAGUAAUUCACGUUGCUCCAACUAUCGCAGCACUGUUGCGAUAACAACCACACUGCGUCACACAACUGAGCAUCCAGAAGUAUAAACCACCACUGUGGUGCUAUGGCGUUGCAGUCGUCAUCUUCUCAUGAAUUUAUGCAACCUUCUUAAAGGAUUUUUUCUACUACAGUUACAACUAAAAUUACUUACUAAAUUAUUUCUACUACUACUAUUACGACUACCACAACAGCUACUAAAAAUCACAUACAUACAGUUGUUUCUACUUGUAUGUGCAUAUAUGUUUAUGAAUGCAUCUCGCAGUUUCAGCGCGAAAUUUAAAUGUAGCCAAAGAUGAAGCUGAACUAGACAGCGAAACCGAUGCAAGUAUAUCCUCACAUAUAAACUCGGAACAUUGCACAUGCUUGGAGAAUUUGUAGUUUUCUUAUUUGCCAACAAGAUGAUAAAAGAAAAAAUAUAUGUAUUGGUAUUUAUAACGCGCAUGUAGCUUAUUUCAAACGAGUAACUGUUAAUAUUUGUUGUAUUUACGCUCUACAAUUUUAUGUACCUUUUGUGCAAGGUUUUUUCUGCGGCUUGUUAAAAUAUAUUGCAAAAGCAAGAUAUGUUCAUUAAAACCUGUAACAACCAUUUCAAACAGAAAAUUAUAUAAAAAAAAUGUUAAAUGGUAAAUAAAUAAAUAAAUAAAUAAAAAAGUGACAAAAUAAA
This is an RNA transcript of Rhagoletis zephyria (snowberry fruit fly), 3384 nucleotides long. It is a transcript of the gene named AMP deaminase, with no coding region annotated. Lineage: Eukaryota; Metazoa; Arthropoda; Insecta; Diptera; Tephritidae. The record is from RefSeq and is a predicted model, not a curated record.